This 276-nucleotide long non-coding RNA is filed under the name Malus domestica (apple). Its description in RNAcentral is "long non-coding RNA (MDOM_LNC000667)". The record is from RNAcentral. Lineage: Eukaryota; Viridiplantae; Streptophyta; Magnoliopsida; Rosales; Rosaceae.
UUCAUCAAAGGAGUUCAACCACAAUUCUCAAAAGCUUCACACAUUCUUGAUCAAGACAGUGUGAAGCAAAAUCAAUUUAUGGUGCCAACAAGAGUUUUAUCAAUAGAGGGCAACCACAUUUUUCAAAAGCUUCGCACACUCUUGAUCAAGACAAUGUGAAGCAAAACCAAUUUAUGGUGCCAACAAGAGCUUCAUCAAUGGAGGUCAACCACAAUUCUCAAAAGCUUCACACACUCUUGAUCAAGACAGUGUGAAGCAAAACCAAUUUAUGGUGCC